Molecule: RNA transcript, 4549 nt
Organism: Prunus dulcis (almond)
Lineage: Eukaryota; Viridiplantae; Streptophyta; Magnoliopsida; Rosales; Rosaceae
Exons: 6
Source: RefSeq, a predicted model, not a curated record
GUGCUGGGAGAAAGUUCUCAUACUUUUGGCUAUCUAUUCAUUUUGUUUUCUUCUUCUUUUCCCUUUCUUGAAAAUUCAAAAUUUAUUAUUGCUGAAGUUCGGCUAUUGCAGAGAAUGUGGUGAUGCUUAAAUAGUUUGGUACAUGAUUAUUUGAAAACUGUGACAGAAAGUAUGUAAAAUUGCAUGUGGAUGAAAUACCAAACCUUGAUAGAAACACUCACUCGUUUCCGAUUCUCUAUUAUUCAGAUUUUUCUAUAUUAUUCAAGAUACAAGUGUGCAUUAAUUUUAAUUUGACAGAUAUAAAGGAAUUUUGUGGGCAGGAAUUUAUUUGUCAACAUGGAAUUUUUUUAAUGUAUUGUUAACUUCAUUUUCCACAAGGUAGAGUUGAUUUGUCAACACGGAAAUGAGAUUUUAUUUGUCUUAACUUGUGGAAUAAUGUUGCCAGUGGAAAAAAAAGAGUCAUAGGAGGAUAAGGUUUAGACCAAUUCUGCUGCUUUCAAAAAGAUGUAUAGAAAAACUGGUUGGUGGAAGUCAACAGUCAAGACCACAUGAUACCUUAUUUUAUAUAACAUGCUGGGAGUAUGAUUAAAUGUUCAAGGUGCAGAGAAAAGCUGAGUAUUUCGUCAGAGAUGACAAUUUCUUUCUUCAUCCUGUUGUUCAUGGUAGGCUUCAAAGUUAAUAUUGGAGCAUGCCAAAAUGAGUGCUCAGAAUUACGCUGUGGAGACAUACCUAUCAAAUUCCCUUUUCGACUCAAAGACAAGCAGCCUGAUCACUGUGGCUACCCCGGAUUUGAUUUAUCCUGCAAUGGAAGCAACAAUACGGUGCUUGAGCUGCCAAUUUCAGUGAAGUUCAUCGUCACUGAUAUCAACUACAAAUCUCAGGUAAUUCAAGUGGUUGAUCCAGAUGGUUGUGUUCCCAGGCAGCUUCAUAAACUUAAUCCGUCUGCCUCUGCCUUCCAAUUCAAAGGGGACUACCAAUCUGACUAUACUUUAUUCAAUUGUUCACCAGCAGAUAGAGAUUUAUAUUAUCAAAUUCCCUGCCUUAGUGGGACUAGCCACCAAAUGUUGGCUAUAGAUUCAGAUUCCUCGAUUGACGCAUUUCCUAUUUCGUCUUGUACCAAACUGUAUAACCUUCCACCUGUUUCACAUGAUAUAUUCAAGGCAGAACAUGUUCUUCGUUUGGAAUGGUUCAAACCAGAAUGUAAACAUUGUGAGAGGAAAGGUAGAAAAUGUAAAUUGAAGAACAACAAUCACACUGAAUCAGAAACGGAGUGCUUCAAUGAGGGCAAACAAGGUUCUUGACCGAAUAUACAAUCUGUAGGUGUGAUCCUGGGUUCAUUUUUAUUUCUGGUGGCACUUGUUUCUCUCCAUCGGCUGUACACUUCUGACAGAAAACAAACCAUGAUUGAAGAAUUUUUGGAAAAUUACAGAGCUCUCAAGCCCACAAGGUACUCUUAUGCUGAUAUAAAGAGGAUCACCAAUACGUUUAGAGACAAGCUGGGACAGGGGACCUUUGGAACAGUGUACAAAGGAAAGCUUUCCAAUGAGAUCUUUGUUGCUGUAAAGAUCCUCAACAAUUCCAAAGGAAAUGGGGAAGAGUUUAUCAAUGAAGUGGGAACAUUGGGUCGAAUCCACUACGUCAACGUGGUUCGAUUGGUUGGCUAUUGUGCUGAUGGAUUUAGACGAGCUUUGGUUUAUGAAUUUGCACCAAACGGUUCACUGCAGAAUUUUAUAACAUCAGCAGACAGCAACAACCAUUUCCUUGGUUGGGAGAAGCUGCAAUAUAUUGCUCUCAGCGUAGCCAAAGGAAUUGAAUACCUUCACAACGGAUGUGACCAACGAAUCCUUCAUUUUGAUAUUAAACCUCACAAUGUUCUUUUGGAUGAAAACUUUAAUCCAAAAAUCUCUGAUUUUGGUCUUUCCAAGUUGUGCGCCAACGAUCAAAGUGCAGUUUCCUUGACAACUGCUAGGGGCACCAUGGGUUACAUCGCACCUGAAGUCUUCUCUAGGAACUUCGGUAACGUGUCCUACAAGUCAGAUGUGUACAGUUUUGGAAUGUUGUUACUUGAAAUGGUUGGAGGCAGGAAAAAUGUUCAGGUCACAGAGGCAAACAGCAGCCAAGUUUAUUUCCCCGAAUGGAUCUAUAAUCUUCUAGAUCAAGGAGAAGACAUCCGCAUCCACGUUGAGCAAGAGAUUGAUGCUAAAAUCGCAAAGAAACUCGCAAUUGUGGGGCUAUGGUGCAUCCAGUGGUACCCGGUAGAUCGUCCUUCCAUGAAAGCUGUAGUUCAAAUGUUGGAAGGAGAAGACAAUGUAAAAAUGCCCCCUAAUCCUUUCUCAUCGACUGCUUCAACAAGAGACAAUGUUACAAUGCCUGCAAAACGCCCCCGCCAAGAGUUACCUGUAAUAUCCGAAUUAGAUUGGUUGGGCGGUGCAGCUGCUGUUUCUCCUCUUGUUGCUGAUAUGUCCUCUGAGGCAAUCAAUUAUAAUAACUACACCAUCCGGGUUGUGGAUGCCAAUCUUCACAAGGAUAACUGCUCUUCAAUUCCUCAUUAUUCCUUGUCCAGUUAUAACUUCAGUGACGGGGAUCCGUAUUGGAUUUAUCAAAGAAGAGGUAAGGGGGGGCCAUGGUGGGACAAAGUUCACGUGAAACUGUCAAAGCCUAUAAUAUUUCUGACCUGUGAAACCCCGGUGAUUUCGCCUCUCUAUGUGGAUACUGCUCCUUGCAAUGGUGCUAUGUGGAGUUCCACUUCCAAUGGGCAUUCAUAUGUUAGUGUUGAUGAACGAUUAUUUGUGUCAAAUUUGAGGGAGUUUUGUCGCAUAGAGCUUAUGUUUAUGAUAUCGUCUCAGCUUACAAAGAACAAUUCCUACAUAGACAUCCACAAUGAGAUGAUAUAUGGCUUUGAACUUACAUGGGUGCAGUGGGGUUGCUACAUCGACAGUGAUACCAACAAAGUUAAUUGCUCUCGCUUCAUCGAUUAUCUAUACGUUUCAUCUCAAUUUAUUUUUUCUUCUCAAUUAUUAUCCUCAGCAAAAAGUAUGAUUAUAUUGUUUCAUGUGAGAAUAAAAAUUACUCUUUCCAGGAAAGAAAAUUCAUGCAGUGUUAAACAAUUGGUCUCUAGUAUUCAAUUACAUAUACAUUCUGGUUGUAGCAGCAAAACUUAUUUCCAUGAUUCAUUUCGACACUUCCUUACAGGACUAGCACUUGGAGCAAGGGCUAUACUUGGGGCUCUGUGUCUCAUUGUGCUUUUAAUCUACAAAUUCAAGAGGAGGCACUUAUCAAUGUAUGGCAAUAUUGAAGAAUUCUUACAAAGUCACAACAACCUCAUGCCAAUAAGGUACUCCUACUCAAAUAUCAGGAAAAUGACCAAAGGAUUUAAGGACAAAUUGGGUGAAGGAGGUUAUGGUUCUGUAUACAAAGGGAAGCUCCGAAGUGGCCGCCUUGUAGCAAUUAAGAUGAUGGGUAAGUCCAAAACAAAUGGACAAGAUUUUAUCAAUGAAGUUGCUACCAUUGGAAGGAUUCAUCAUGUAAAUGUGGUGCAACUAAUUGGCUAUUGUGUUGAGGGAUCAAAGCGUGCUCUUGUAUACGAGUUCAUGUCAAAUGGAUCUCUUGAUAAACACAUAUUUCUUAAAGAAGGACCCUCAUCCUUAAAUUACAAGAAAUCAUUUGAAAUUUCGCUUGGUGUUGCUCGUGGUAUUGACUAUCUUCAUCGAGGAUGUGAGAUGCAAAUUUUUCAUUUUGAUAUCAAGCCUCACAACAUUCUUCUUAAUGAGACUUUUGUUCCAAAGGUUUCUGACUUUGGGCUUGCAAGAUUAUGUCCAUUAGAUGAGAGCAGUUUAACUUUGACUGCAGCAAGAGGAACCAUCGGAUACAUAGCUCCAGAGUUGUUUUACAAAAAUAUAGGAGGAGUGUCAAACAAAGCUGACAUCUACAGUUUCGGAAUGCUGUUGAUGGAAAUAGCAGGAAAAAGAAAGAAUCUAAAUGCAGUUGCAGCUCAUUCAAGCCAAAUAUACUUUCCUUCAUGGGUUUAUGACCAAUUCAGUGAAGGAAAGGACAUAGAGAUAGAAGAUUCCACUGAGGAUGAAAUGAAAAUAACAAAGAAGAUGCUUAUAGUGGCAUUGUGGUGUAUACAAAUGAAGCCUAGCGAGCGUCCUACUUCGAUGAGCAAAGUAGUACAGAUGCUUGAAGGAGAAACUGAAGCCCUUCAAAUGCCUCCAAAGCCUUUCCUUUAUCCACAAGACAAACCAGUGGUGGAUGAUGAAGACAAUCCAGAAACAACAUGGCCAUCGUCAACACAAUCUAAUGACGACUCUAAAGACUCAAUAAGUUUAAUUCAAAAUGCUGACAAUUAGCCUGAGUACAGGUACAGUAUGCCCGAGGAAAGGCUUCAUGGCCAACAUUUCAACUCUGCAGGGGCAGUAAUGGUUGUUUCGUUUUUGGUAGGACGAAUCCUUCUUGUAAUAUAUUUCUUUUAUGAUUUGUGAACUUGUUUUCAACAGUUUUUGGUCCUUCCUCCUUUAAAUUAAAGUCAAAGGUGUCCUACUCUUCAGUA